AAGUCUUUGGUUUUCAGCUGGGGUAGCAGCAGGUCCAGGCAGAGGUGGGGGCUGUGUGCUGUCACCCCAGAGCCUGUUCUUUAAUUUGCCAUACUGGACAGCAAUGGGAGUUUUCCUGAGGUGAAGCUGUGCAAGCCUGGCAGCUUUCACCCACUAACUACUGUCCUGCUGGAGAGCCUGAUCUAGCUGGAGGUGUUCCUGCUUACUGCACCUUUGAGAGUCACUUCCAACACAAUGCAACCUGUGAAUCAGUGGAACUGCACCUGCUGGGCUUCUGAGAUAUGGGAUUGCCCUCAGUGCAUGCAGGUGGAGUGUUUAAGUAUUCUUUCCAGUUUCUUGAUGAGUGUGGAAAUCAAGCUGAGAGGCUCUCAUCUCAUCAGCAAGGCUUUUGACACCAUCUCCCAUAACAUCCUCAAAGUGCAUUUUGAUAUGGAGGAGGAAUGCCCCUUCCCUGUAAUUUCUUAGAUGAGCCACGGGGCUUUAGGUGAAAUGAUUGCUGGAGAGAGAAGCCUUGGACUGUAAACAGGGCACCUGGAGUACCAGCCCUGCAGCCAGCAGGGAUGUGGUUAGCUCUCCUGAGGGGGUGAGGCAUCCUUGCUGAGUGCCUGCGUCCUGGGAAGGGUGCUGGGAAGAUAUCAUCAGCUCAGACUUAGCAAUCUGGAAAGAGCUGGAUUUACUGGGAGAGGUGAAGUCACCUGCUUCAACCCCUCUGGACUGGGAGAGAGAGGUAAUGAUGCCAAGAUGAGAUUCUGGAAGUGGGAGCAGCUCUUGCAUAGUGGCAAAAGAUCUCUACAAAGUUAGUGGCUGGAAAUACACAGAGUGGCAGUGGGCAAAAAGUUACUAGAGGAAGGUGUCCCACAACAGACAAAGAUGUUUGGGUGGGCUCUGCUGGCUAAAUGACAGCAGUACUGCUUUGGAAAGGUCACCUCACUGACUUGCAUUCACCCCGACCUAUGCUACUGCAGCAUUAUCCAAAUCCAGGUCUGUUUGGUGUCCUGCAGGUCUGAGUGACCCUUUUCCAUCUUGAGGACUGAAAUGAGCAUCCUCCUGCUCUGAGAUGUGUCCUCUGGACAUGUCACUUCCAAAUGACGAAAGAGGGCCUCCUUUGAGUAGGCGGCUCCCAGCAGGGACAGAAACUCCUUCUGCAUCCCUAUGGCCAAAAGAUUUAUUUGCUCUUUGAGGGUAGAGGCUUAAUUCUUGUCCUGAAACUUCAUAACCCUGUUCAGGCCAUCUCUGCCCAGAAAGAUUUGCUGCAGCAAUAACCUGCAAAGGGGCUGCUUUUCCCCGUGCUUCAGCAGCACUGAUGGACUCACCCUGAGGGCUCUUACCUGCUGCAGGGUGGCAAGGAGGGGACAAGUGACUGUCUUUCUCUCGUUUUUCCUCUCAGAUGCAGUGUCAUGCUGUGGCUCAGUGGCAUUUUGUGCUCAGGACAAGAAGGCGUUGUUUAAAGCUGCAAAGUAGGGGAAUAAAUUGGAGGAUGGAGCACAGAGAGCUCUGUAAAAGGCUUUGCUGCUAUGCCCUGCAAUUACCCAGAGUGAUGUGCCCUUGAAAAUAGACCGGAGCAGAUGCAGUUGGUGACUGAGCUGCAGCUCUCAAGUGUCAAAGCUACUGUUUGUCCCCUUUCAGACUCUUAAUUCUCCAGGUAACACUGCAGAGCCACCUUGCUCAGCCUCUGUGUGCCAGCCUCAACCUUCCUAUAGAGGGACCUGGCCAAGGGCACUGGCCAGCUGGCAGGGAGGGAUGGAUGUGCAGCAGGGAGACUGGAGGGAAUCCCUCUGACUGGAGUUAUGUAGGGAGCCUCUCGAGUACUGCAGUCCUACCACCUUGUUGCUGGAAGUUCCAGCCCGGCCAAGAGAUGUCCCAGCCAGAUGGAGACAGCCAGGCCAAGGUGGCCAAUGUGUUGUGAGGAGGGGAGGGUUUUGAGGCUGAUGGCUCCUCCUCUCAGGCAGGGUUAAUACAAUGAAGUGCUUGAUAA
Molecule: long non-coding RNA, 1975 nt
Organism: Pogoniulus pusillus (Red-fronted tinkerbird)
Lineage: Eukaryota; Metazoa; Chordata; Aves; Piciformes; Lybiidae
Exons: 2
Source: RefSeq, a predicted model, not a curated record